CUGUCAUCCUGGCACAAGUGAAGGGACCAUCAUUACUCACCACAGCCUUGAACUCCUGGACUCAGGUGUAACUUGAUUAUAUAAUCUCAUCUGAGAAGAAAUCCCAGUGAAGUUGGAGGAAAAAGAAAAAAAUGGCAGUUUCUCAGUUCUAGAUACUUGGAAGACUGAGGCA
Long non-coding RNA from Carlito syrichta (Philippine tarsier), 172 nucleotides. RefSeq lists it as uncharacterized. The transcript has 3 exons. Lineage: Eukaryota; Metazoa; Chordata; Mammalia; Primates; Tarsiidae. The record is from RefSeq and is a predicted model, not a curated record.